This 535-nucleotide ribosomal RNA is filed under the name Bifidobacterium longum subsp. infantis. RNAcentral describes it as "bacterial SSU rRNA". It matches the Rfam family "Bacterial small subunit ribosomal RNA", at positions 162 to 711 of the family's 1533-position model. Lineage: Bacteria; Bacillati; Actinomycetota; Actinomycetes; Bifidobacteriales; Bifidobacteriaceae. The record is from RNAcentral. RNAcentral also lists the same sequence under 1 other name.
GGUAAUGCCGGAUGCUCCAGUUGAUCGCAUGGUCUUCUGGGAAAGCUUUCGCGGUAUGGGAUGGGGUCGCGUCCUAUCAGCUUGACGGCGGGGUAACGGCCCACCGUGGCUUCGACGGGUAGCCGGCCUGAGAGGGCGACCGGCCACAUUGGGACUGAGAUACGGCCCAGACUCCUACGGGAGGCAGCAGUGGGGAAUAUUGCACAAUGGGCGCAAGCCUGAUGCAGCGACGCCGCGUGAGGGAUGGAGGCCUUCGGGUUGUAAACCUCUUUUAUCGGGGAGCAAGCGAGAGUGAGUUUACCCGUUGAAUAAGCACCGGCUAACUACGUGCCAGCAGCCGCGGUAAUACGUAGGGUGCAAGCGUUAUCCGGAAUUAUUGGGCGUAAAGGGCUCGUAGGCGGUUCGUCGCGUCCGGUGUGAAAGUCCAUCGCUUAACGGUGGAUCCGCGCCGGGUACGGGCGGGCUUGAGUGCGGUAGGGGAGACUGGAAUUCCCGGUGUAACGGUGGAAUGUGUAGAUAUCGGGAAAGAACACCA